RNAcentral lists this long non-coding RNA (2985 nucleotides) under Brassica rapa (field mustard). RNAcentral describes it as "long non-coding RNA (BRAP_LNC004004)". Lineage: Eukaryota; Viridiplantae; Streptophyta; Magnoliopsida; Brassicales; Brassicaceae. The record is from RNAcentral.
UACCUCUCUGCUCUCCUCUCUCGUCGAACCCCACCAACUGCGUGUUCGAAUACCUUAAGAACAUCAGCUAAUCGCAAAUAUUCUGAUACGAACCGGACUGAUGAAGAUGGGCCAACAAUUGGGCUUCGUUUACUUUAUUUAUUUAAUUACUAUCUAGGCCUUUUACACAACUAUAUGUACUCGAAAACAUAUCUGAGAAAGGUAUCGAUUACGAUCACAAUAUCAAACUGGGUAAAUCCCCAACUUCUACCUCUAUCUCUUCUCUUCUCCCUUUGCUCUUCGUCAUUUCUCCCUCCCUUUCUGUUCUAUUCAGAUAAGCUCAAUCCUGGGCUUAUCAUUGGUAUCAGAGCUCAAGUUCCUUUGACCGUGAGUUUAAAAAAAAAAAAAAAAUAUAUAUGGUUUUCAGUGAGAAGCUCGAGAAGCUACUACAAUCAUUCAAACAGAUGGAUGUGGAUCGGAAACUGCGUGAGGAGCUUCGAAUGGACAGUCAGAGACUGCAUGAGGAGUUCCGUGAGGAGUAUCAGAAGCGGCGGAAGCGACCGUAUGGUGAAUCUCAUCCUUAUGACGCUUUCAUCCCUAAAAGGUUUGAAGAUCUAAGGCUUAAUGGAGGUAGCAAGCUCAGAAGGAUUCCGAUCAAGCUAAACUACCACAGAUCUCGAUUUAAGAAACUGAAAAGUAAGUCACCUAGAAGAACUCUUGAUUCAAAGGGUUUGUUAGAUCGUACGUUUCAGAGGAGGUGUGUGGGAAUGAAGAAACAAUACCAUCAGAAGAAGAGAACAGCUCAGGUGAAGCUUGCGCAAGCUUGUAAGAGCUUGGGGAUGUUCCUAGUCUCUCCAAGUUUUAGAGAUCCAAAAGACUGUAUGAAGAUUUGUGUGGUUAAAAGGCAGAUCAUCGACACAGGAGUGAGGCCAGAGACUCAUCUCUUCUGGUAUGAGUUUACUUCCCAUGAGCCUACGGAUAUAGAUGGUCAUGUAGAUACGAGGAUAGGAGAUCAAAGUAUCUUCGCUGAGGAUGUUACAGCGCUAGAACAUGAUGAUCCUGAUGCUGCGAUGGAGUCUGUGAAGGAUGAAACAGUACUGGAGUCAGAACCAGAGGUAACGAGCAACGAUAAGAUCCGAGUUGAACUCUCUGAGGGUCAACAACAGAAGGAGCAACGAAGAUUUCACAAGGUUCGGUUCAAAGGAAGACGUCACCGGAAAGCUCUUUACACAAGACGUGUUGUGCUCCAGAAAAAGCUCUCAGUAAAUUGGUCUUAUCACAAGACUAGAAAGAAGGAGUUGAUUAAUCUGAACAUUCCCGUUAAGGCACUGAGACAGUUAAGCAAAGAAUCAGAUGGUGCAGAAGAGAUACGAUCCACCAGAUUGUUGCAAAGAUUUCAAUGGGAACCAGGCCCUGCGGUGAUGUUAAAUGAUAACAUUAAACAAGGUCAAGUUCAGUGGCUGAGGCUAACAUCACAACAAAAUGGCGAUAUCAAUUUUAGCUUGGGGAACGCUGAAACUUCAGAGCUGUGUGAAAGAGUGGACGCUUCGGUCAUAGAUAGCAAGGGUCAAUACAAAGAAAGGCACAGAGGAAAUGAGUUGUACAUCGAGGUCAAGCGUGUGGAUGUUCUUGGUCUUAAGAGAUCCCUAGCGAGUCAAAAGACAAAUUCAAGUGAUGGGGUUAAGAUCAUGGGAUCAGCUUUUGUAUCCUUCAGCCUUGAGGACAAGACUGUUCUUCUACCGGGGAGAAAGCUCAGGCUCUGUGGUGAGAAAAUAAUGGAUGGUCGCUUUGAAGGUUUAAGUAAAGAAAAGUCAGGAAGAGCUGCAGGUUUAUGGAGGCAAAUGAGGAAGGUGAUCUUUGAUGCUGCUGUGAUGCCGUUGUAUUUACGUCUGCAGAGAGAUGAAGGAUCUGAACCUAUGAUUGGUUAUGAAUGGGAUCCUGGUGGGGUUAGCAUUGAGAAGAUUCAGGAAUUCGUUUUCAAUAUAAAAUGUUGCUUGCUUGAGAUGGAACAGAGUAUGAAAAAGUGUUCUGCUAACUCAGAGUUGGAGUUGCUUACGAGAAAGGUCCAUCACAUGAAAGCGGAAGGUGCUGAUUCUAACCAUGGCAAGGGUGAUGCUCUAGUAGUAAAGCUUGAAAAGAGGCUUAGAAUGGUUCAGUGGGUGGAGCAAGGCAGGAGAGACAAUGGUGCUAGAAUUGGAACGAUGCGGAAUGAAGGGCACAUCGUACUCUCUACUUCUGAUACGAGAGCUUACUCUGAGUCAUUAUUAGAUUAUGGGAAGCACAACAAGCAGAUGAGGUGGCUCCUUGAUCACACUAUGACAGCAGUGGUACUGGACGAAGAUGCACCUGAAAAUGACACAGAUGGACGCUACUUGUUUAUCAAGUUUAUCAAUUCUGAUCCAAGAGAGAAGGUGGUGUUCUUUGUCUAUGAUUGGUUUCAAUCACCAAGACCACCAGAAAUGAAUCACGACAAGGGUGGGCUAGGUACAAUGGUUUCUGUGUCAAGGAAACGUGGUCUCAGCCAGAACAUUGGUCUUGUCUCUGUGUCUAAUUUUAAUGGCAAUGGAAUGAACAGAAAGAAGGUACAAGGACAUCCGGAAGACAUAGUUGGGGAGGAAGCUGUUUUAAAGGGUCAAAAGUUAGAGAUUGCUAUCAUCAUGAAGCUGACCAGAGGCAAUCACAAGUUGAAGAUACAAGAAGGCAACAGCAGUUCAUACAACUUGAGGACAAGUUGGAUCUUCAGGAAGGGAGUAUUGAUACGAACCGGACUGAUGAAGAUGGGCCAACAAUUGGGCUUCGUUUACUUUAUUUAUUUAAUUACUAUCUAGGCCUUUUACACAACUAUAUGUACUCGAAAACAUAUCUGAGAAAGGUAUCGAUUACGAUCACAAUAUCAAACUGGGUAAAUCCCCAACUUCUACCUCUAUCUCUUCUCUUCUCCCUUUGCUCUUCGUCAUUUCUCCCUCCCUUUCUGUUCUAUUCAGAUAAGCUCAAUCCUGGGCUUAU